Molecule: non-coding RNA, 96 nt
Organism: Tinamus guttatus (white-throated tinamou)
Lineage: Eukaryota; Metazoa; Chordata; Aves; Tinamiformes; Tinamidae
Source: RefSeq, a predicted model, not a curated record
AGCAGCCCUGUGAAGUGAUGUAAGCUCACUCACCUCAUUGUCCUGAUGAUUAAUUUUGCUAAGAUUUGACUGCUGCAGAAGCACAUUCAGAAGCCU